AUGAACGCUGGCGGCGUGCCUAAUACAUGCAAGUCGAGCGAACAGAUAAGGAGCUUGCUCCUUUGACGUUAGCGGCGGACGGGUGAGUAACACGUGGGUAACCUACCUAUAAGACUGGGAUAACUUCGGGAAACCGGAGCUAAUACCGGAUAACAUUUGGAACCGCAUGGUUCUAAAGUGAAAGAUGGUUUUGCUAUCACUUAUAGAUGGACCCGCGCCGUAUUAGCUAGUUGGUAAGGUAACGGCUUACCAAGGCGACGAUACGUAGCCGACCUGAGAGGGUGAUCGGCCACACUGGAACUGAGACACGGUCCAGACUCCUACGGGAGGCAGCAGUAGGGAAUCUUCCGCAAUGGGCGAAAGCCUGACGGAGCAACGCCGCGUGAGUGAUGAAGGGUUUCGGCUCGUAAAACUCUGUUAUUAGAGAAGAACAAAUGUGUAAGUAACUGUGCACGUCUUGACGGUACCUAAUCAGAAAGCCACGGCAAACUACGUG
This 496-nucleotide ribosomal RNA is filed under the name uncultured bacterium. RNAcentral's name for it is "partial 16S ribosomal RNA". It matches the Rfam family "Bacterial small subunit ribosomal RNA", at positions 29 to 507 of the family's 1533-position model. The record is from RNAcentral.